GCCCCCUACCGGACAGGCGGCGGGAAAACGCCGCGCAACUCAGACCACUGGAGCGGAGUAGUAUCUGGAGUUUCUGUAACAUCCUUUCCCUUUUUUUUUUUUUUUAAAGCCAGAGCCUCUGUCGCCCAGGCUGCAGUACAGUGGCGUAAUCUCAGCUCACUGCAACCUCUGCCUCCCGGGAUCAAGCGAUUCUCCUUCCUCAGCCUCCCGAGUAGCUGGGAUUACAGGUGCCCGUCGGCUAAUUUUUGGUUUUUUGUUUUGUUUUGUUUUGUUUUUUUUGUUUUUGUUUUUGUUUUGAAACGGAGUCUCUGUCGCCCAGGCUGGAGUGCAACGGCGUGAUCUCGGCUCACUGCAACCUCCGCCUCCCGGGUUCAAGCGAUUCUUCUGUCUCGGCCUCCCAAGUAGCUGGGAUUACAGGCGUCCACCACCAGGCGCAGCUAAUUUUUUGUAUUUUUAGUAGACACGAGGUUUUGCCAUGUUGGCCAGGCUGGUUUCGAACUCCUGGCCUCAAGUGAUCCGCCUGCCUCGGCCUCCCAAAGUGCUGGGAUUACAGGCGACACCCUUUGCUUUUUUUUUUUUUUUUUUUUUGAGGCGGAGUAUCACUCUGUUGCCCAGGCUGGAGUGCAAUGGCGUGAUCUCGGCUCACUGCAACCUCUGCCUCCCAGGUUCAAGAGAUUCUUCUGCCUCAGCCUCCCAAGUAGCUGGCACUGCAGACACGCACCACCACACCCAGGCUACACAGAACAACAUCAUUAGCAACAUUGUUUCAGCAAGGAAAUAAUCCUUAUUGGCAAAGGGAAACCAAGGAAAGAAAACUAUUGUUUUCUUCGGCUACAUGCUGUCUGCAAAGCACCCCAUGGAUUCAAUUUCUCAUCAAUUCAGAAUGGAAUACUAACGUGCUGCCUAGAGAUACAGAAGUGGGAUGAACGCAGGGCCUUACUCAGCAUUCAGAACAAAACUGAUGGUGCUAGCAUAUAUAAGACUGAAACACCAAAGUCCUCCGUGGAAGUUAAUGAAUUUCUGGUUAUGAGUUGGAUUCUUCAGCGGAGUAUUUGAGCCAUGCCUUGAGGCACAUACUUCAAGUUGCUGCAUCCAGUUUUAAACUCCAGAUUGAGCUUUACAUAUUAAAUGUGCACAUUUGUUUUCACAUUUUUGAGCUUUGCCAGUGGCACCCUCUCUAAUUAAUCAUCCCGCGGGCUUAGAAAACUUCUGCCCAAUCCUUUCUGAUUUGUUAAAAGAAAGAGAGAAGGUUUUAGUCUGAAAAAGGCCUUAUCUGAUAAACAUCACAUUAUAUGGAUUUUUACAUUUAAGUACAUUUUCUUUUUAAAUCCGGUGGCUUUCCCAAACUAGAAAGAUGGAGUGUUUGCAUACAUCCACCAACCACCAACAUCAGCAGAAAGAAAGCUUGAUACAGUAAAGGAAAGAAAUGGCAAUUUAACAGUUCUUUUAUUUUCCAUUCAGAUCACAUACACAUUAACCAAAUGAGGCCUCACAGCGUGGAAUCUGAUAUCAUAGCAAUGUUUUCAGGAAGCAAUAAUUGAAUACUCCUCAUUAAAAAGGUUCAUAAAAGAAUCCUAUUAAAACCAAUACGAAUAAUAAACCUUGAAAAUGCUGCUUUAAAUUCCAAGAGGAUGGCGAAGAUCUGCGUCAGUAACAGUCUUCCUGUUCAUAGAGUGAUUUUGAAAAUCUCGUGGGCUGAAUUUUUCCAAGCCAAGCAGGCAUCUCACUAUCCAGUGAAAGACCCAGGGACUAUUUUGAAUGCAUUCAAUCCAAGCCUGUGCCUUUCACAGUCAGUUUUCUCCAAGAAUUUAUCCCUAAUCCUGACAGGAUACCCAACCAAAAGGCUAAUUAUUUUUAGUCACUUAAUUAAUAGAUAAUUCUUACAAAGAGCCCAACACCUGAACCCACCAAGUCCUCUUUGCAUGGGCAAAUCCAGCUGGUUUGAUGCACUAAUUUCACUAAAUGAAAAUUUGGACAAAUUUUAUGUUACUGCAAAUAAUGGUAAAUGUAUCCAAUUCAAAAAAUAGUAAUAAAAAGGUUAUUUUUUUGUUCCCUUUUUAAUCACAGAGGCAGCUGUGGUAGACCCCAAAUGCACAGGGCAUAUGGCUCACCUCACCACCCCAGAUGGUGCUACUGGCCCAGCCUUCCCAGCGUCCACCCUGGCAGUCUUUCCUCAUUCCCUUGGCCCUCACCCUGUCUCCUCAGCCUUCCAGCUGCACUGCUAUUGUAGGCUGCUCUUUCUCGACAAUCUCCUCUUAUUUUCUGUGAUGUCUCAGGAUGUUUCUUCUUCUCAGGGGUUUUCCAAGCUUCUUCCACACUCAGGUGCUCAGACGUUUUUAUGGUCUGGCUUCUGAAGGAGAUCAAAAUUCAUAUGGACAGGCAUUUGUGUAUUAGCCAAGAGUUGCUAAUGCAUUUCUUGAUCAUAAGUCUCAGAGAAAUGGGAUGAAAGAUCUUAGAUUUUUAUACACUCUGCUUCAAUGAUUUCUCAGCUUUUCUGAUCUGAAAAGAAUAAAGGACACCUUUUAGCUAAGCACUUUCUGUUUUAUUUCUUAUAAUGCCAUGUAGUGGCUGUUACUGCCAACACAGCAGUCAUUUAAUAAACCCUGAAUGUCUGUAGCAUUUCUUCUCAUUCGUUUCAGUGAGUGCUGUUCUUUUCUGUGUUUAUUUUUAAUUUUUUUUUUCCAUGCAGUAUUUCUUGCACCCUCUUAUUACUCCUCAGCCUUUGGAUUCUAGAUCAGUGGUUCUCAAACUGCCUGCAUCAGAACACCUGAAGGGCUUGUACAACACAGAUUGCUGGAUCUCAUUCCCAGAGUUUAUUAAUUGUUAGGUCCAGGUGGGCCAGGGAAUUUGCAUUUCUA
This 2858-nucleotide long non-coding RNA is filed under the name Homo sapiens (human). RNAcentral's name for it is "HSALNT0107687". The record is from RNAcentral. Lineage: Eukaryota; Metazoa; Chordata; Mammalia; Primates; Hominidae.